This 484-nucleotide ribosomal RNA is filed under the name Xylotrupes florensis. Its description in RNAcentral is "partial large subunit ribosomal RNA". It matches the Rfam family "Bacterial large subunit ribosomal RNA", at positions 1808 to 2563 of the family's 2925-position model. Lineage: Eukaryota; Metazoa; Arthropoda; Insecta; Coleoptera; Scarabaeidae. The record is from RNAcentral.
CAAAAACAUGUCUUUUUGAUUAUAAUUUAAAGUCUAACCUGCCCAAUGAGGAGUUAAAUGGCCGCGGUAAUUUGACCGUGCAAAGGUAGCAUAAUCAUUAGUUUUUUAAUUGAAAGCUGGAAUGAAUGGUUGGACGAGAAAAUAACUGUCUCAAUUUAAUUGGAAUUAGAAUUUUAUUUAUAAGUAAAAAAGCUUAUAUGAAUUUAAAAGACGAGAAGACCCUUUAGAAUUUAAUAUAUUAAUAUGUUUAUUAUUUUAGAAUUUUUAUUUAUAUAUAUAGAAGUAUAUUUUGUUGGGGCGAUAGAAAAAUUAAUUAAACUUUUUUUAUAUUUUAACAUUAAUGUAUGUGUAAAUGAUCCGUUUAUUACGAUUAAAAGAUUAAAUUACCUUAGGGAUAACAGCGUAAUUUUUUUUUAGAGUUCUUAUCGAAAAAAGAGUUUGCGACCUCGAUGUUGGAUUAAAAUUAACUUUUGGUGUAGGGGCU